AUUGAACGCUGGCGGCAGGCCUAACACAUGCAAGUCGAGCGAGCGGCGGACGGGUGAGUAAUGUAUGGGGACUGCGCGAUAGAGGGGGAUAACUACUGGAAACGGUGGCUAAUACCGCAUACUAUCGCAUAACCCAGAUGGGAUUAGCUAGUAGGUGGGGUAAAGGCGCACCUAGGCGACGAACGCUUGCUGGUCUGAGAGGAUGAUCAGUCACACUGGGACUGAGACACGGCCCAGACUCCUACGGGGGCAGCAGAGGGGAAUAUUGGACAAUGGGCGAAAGCCUGAUGCAGCCAUGCCGAGUGUAUGAAGAAGGCCUUAGGGUUGUAAACCUCUUUCGCUAUCGAACGGGUAGGUGGAGAAGAAGCGCCGGCUAACUACGUGCCAGCAGCCGCGGUAAUUC
This 403-nucleotide ribosomal RNA is filed under the name uncultured bacterium. RNAcentral describes it as "partial 16S ribosomal RNA". It matches the Rfam family "Bacterial small subunit ribosomal RNA", at positions 30 to 526 of the family's 1533-position model. The record is from RNAcentral.